GGCACUACGGUGCUGAAGCAACAAAUGCCCUGCUUCCAGGAAAAGCCUCUAAGCAUCAGGUAACAUCAAAUCGUACCCCAAACCGACACAGGUGGUCAGGUAGAGAAUACCAAGGCGCUUGAGAGAACUCGGGUGAAGGAACUAGGCAAAAUGGUGCCGUAACUUCGGGAGAAGGCACGCUGAUAUGUAGGUGAAGUCCCUCGCGGAUGGAGCUGAAAUCAGUCGAAGAUACCAGCUGGCUGCAACUGUUUAUUAAAAACACAGCACUGUGCAAACACGAAAGUGGACGUAUACGGUGUGACGCCUGCCCGGUGC
Molecule: ribosomal RNA, 315 nt
Filed under: Escherichia coli
Lineage: Bacteria; Pseudomonadati; Pseudomonadota; Gammaproteobacteria; Enterobacterales; Enterobacteriaceae
Also listed under: 2 other names
Description: bacterial LSU rRNA
Rfam family: Bacterial large subunit ribosomal RNA
Source: RNAcentral